CGGGACGUGGCGCAGUCUGGUAGCGUACUCGACUGGGGGUCGAGUGGUCGGAGGUUCAAAUCCUCUCGUCCCGACCA
This 77-nucleotide transfer RNA is filed under the name Nitrospina sp. RNAcentral's name for it is "tRNA-Pro". It matches the Rfam family "tRNA". Rfam says of the family: Transfer RNA (tRNA) molecules are approximately 80 nucleotides in length. Lineage: Bacteria; Pseudomonadati; Nitrospinota; Nitrospinia; Nitrospinales; Nitrospinaceae. RNAcentral also lists the same sequence under 2 other names. The record is from RNAcentral.